CGUGUAGGCGGUCUAGUAAGUCGGUCGUGAAAUCCCUAGGCUUAACCUAGGAACUGCGAUCGAAACUGUUAGGCUAGAGUAUCGGAGGGGAUGGCGGAAUUCCUGGUGUAGAGGUGAAAUUCGUAGAUAUCAGGAGGAACACCUGUGGCGAAGGCGGCCAUCUGGAAGAUUACUGACGCUGAGACGCGAAAGCGUGGGGAGCAAACA
This 207-nucleotide ribosomal RNA is filed under the name uncultured bacterium. Its description in RNAcentral is "partial 16S ribosomal RNA". It matches the Rfam family "Bacterial small subunit ribosomal RNA", at positions 568 to 774 of the family's 1533-position model. The record is from RNAcentral.